CAAUGACAGCAGCUUCAACCCAUACUGAGAGGCUAUCAUCGUUUCCUCCUGCAUAUCUGAGCAAGCUUGUUUUUUCCCCUCGCUGAGGCGAGAUGAUUUUGUUUGUAUGGUGAGCAGAUCUAUCGCCGAUGAUUGCCGAUCUAAUGAGAUGAUCAAGCAACAGCCGCUCACAUGAUGAAAUCAUGAUGAGGUCGGAUUUUGGAGUGAGUAAAAAUUUCUUCCCCACAUCGAGCCGCCAUUGUGUUGUGGUUUGAGAAGAACAUUGGAUCACCUACGAAUAGUUUUCAUUUGUAAAACGUGCAAUAAUUGACCGUGGGCUACAUUUCUCAAUUUUUUUGUUGAAAGAGCAUAUCAAAUAUCCCAAAUCAGUUAAAAUAUAGUGAAAUGUUGUAUCGGACACACGAUGCUUACAAGAAAACAUAAAAUCAAACAUGGUAAGAUGAUGAACAUCUUCCUUUACUAAUAGUUGAUUUACAGCCUCUAGGCAUCAACAAAAAUUGAAGCAGCGUUUGACGAUAAAGAAGAUACCCAGUUGUGCGAUGACCAUUAACCGUUAACGUUGAAAAUCAA
Molecule: long non-coding RNA, 570 nt
Organism: Anopheles arabiensis
Lineage: Eukaryota; Metazoa; Arthropoda; Insecta; Diptera; Culicidae
Exons: 2
Source: RefSeq, a predicted model, not a curated record